GAUGAAGAACGUAGCGAAAUGCGAUAAGUAAUGUGAAUUGCAGAAUUCAGUGAAUCAUCGAAUCUUUGAACGCACAUUGCGCCCCCUGGUAUUCCGGGGGGCGUGCCUGUUCGAGCGUCAUUUCACCACUCAAGCCUCGCUUGGUAUUGGGCAACGCGGUCCGCCGCGUGCCUCAAAUCGUCCGGCUGGGUCUUCUGUCCCCUAAGCGUUGUGGAAACUAUUCGCUAAAGGGUGUUCGGGAGGCUACGCCGUAAAACAACCCCAUUUCUAAGGUUGACCUCGGAUCAGGUAGGGAUACCCGCUGAACUUAAGCAUAUCAAUAAGCGGAGGA
Molecule: unclassified non-coding RNA, 331 nt
Filed under: soil metagenome
Description: partial contains 5.8S ribosomal RNA, internal transcribed spacer 2, and large subunit ribosomal RNA
Rfam family: 5.8S ribosomal RNA (bases 1-120)
Source: RNAcentral